AGUGAACGCUGGCGGUAGGCCUAACACAUGCAAGUCGAACGGCAGCACAGUAAGAGCUUGCUCUUACGGGUGGCGAGUGGCGGACGGGUGAGAAAUACAUCGGAAUCUACUUUUUCGUGGGGGAUAACGUAGGGAAACUUACGCUAAUACCGCAUACGACCUACGGGUGAAAGCAGGGGAUCUUCGGACCUUGCGCGAUUGAAUGAGCCGAUGUCGGAUUAGCUAGUUGGCGGGGUAAGGGCACACCAAGGCAACGAUCCGUAGCUGGUCUGAGAGGAUGAUCAGCCACACUGGAACUGAGACACGGUCCAGACUCCUACGGGAGGCAGCAGUGGGGAAUAUUGGACAAUGGGCGCAAGCCUGAUCCAGCCAUACCGCGUGGGUGAAGAAGGCCUUCGGGUUGUAAAGCCCUUUUGUUGGGAAAGAAAAGCAGUAGGAUAAUACCUCGCUGUUCUGACGGUACCCAAAGAAUAAGCACCGGCUAACUUCGUG
Molecule: ribosomal RNA, 492 nt
Filed under: uncultured bacterium
Lineage: Bacteria
Description: partial 16S ribosomal RNA
Rfam family: Bacterial small subunit ribosomal RNA
Source: RNAcentral